AGAGUUUGAUCCUGGCUCAGGAUGAGCGCUAGCUACAGGCUUAACACAUGCAAGUCGAGGGGCAGCAUUUCAGUUUGCUUGCAAACUGGAGAUGGCGACCGGCGCACGGGUGAGUAACACGUAUCCAACCUGCCGAUAACUCGGGGAUAGCCUUUCGAAAGAAAGAUUAAUACCCGAUGGUAUAAUCAGACCGCAUGGUCUUGUUAUUAAAGAAUUUCGGUUAUCGAUGGGGAUGCGUUCCAUUAGGCAGUUGGUGAGGUAACGGCUCACCAAACCUUCGAUGGAUAGGGGUUCUGAGAGGAAGGUCCCCCACAUUGGAACUGAGACACGGUCCAAACUCCUACGGGAGGCAGCAGUGAGGAAUAUUGGUCAAUGGGCGCAGGCCUGAACCAGCCAAGUAGCGUGAAGGAUGACUGCCCUAUGGGUUGUAAACUUCUUUUAUAUGGGAAUAAAGUUUUCCACGUGUGGAAUUUUGUAUGUACCAUAUGAAUAAGGAUCGGCUAACUCCGUGCCAGCAGCCGCGGUAAUACGGAGGAUCCGAGCGUUAUCCGGAUUUAUUGGGUUUAAAGGGAGCGUAGGUGGACAGUUAAGUCAGUUGUGAAAGUUUGCGGCUCAACCGUAAAAUUGCAGUUGAUACUGGCUGUCUUGAGUACAGUAGAGGUGGGCGGAAUUCGUGGUGUAGCGGUGAAAUGCUUAGAUAUCACGAAGAACUCCGAUUGCGAAGGCAGCUCACUGGACUGCAACUGACACUGAUGCUCGAAAGUGUGGGUAUCAAACAGGAUUAGAUACCCUGGUAGUCCACACAGUAAACGAUGAAUACUCGCUGUUUGCGAUAUACAGUAAGCGGCCAAGCGAAAGCAUUAAGUAUUCCACCUGGGGAGUACGCCGGCAACGGUGAAACUCAAAGGAAUUGACGGGGGCCCGCACAAGCGGAGGAACAUGUGGUUUAAUUCGAUGAUACGCGAGGAACCUUACCCGGGCUUAAAUUGCAUUUGAAUAUAUUGGAAACAGUAUAGCCGUAAGGCAAAUGUGAAGGUGCUGCAUGGUUGUCGUCAGCUCGUGCCGUGAGGUGUCGGCUUAAGUGCCAUAACGAGCGCAACCCUUAUCUUUAGUUACUAACAGGUCAUGCUGAGGACUCUAGAGAGACUGCCGUCGUAAGAUGUGAGGAAGGUGGGGAUGACGUCAAAUCAGCACGGCCCUUACGUCCGGGGCUACACACGUGUUACAAUGGGGGGUACAGAAGGCAGCUACCUGGUGACAGGAUGCUAAUCCCAAAAGCCUCUCUCAGUUCGGAUCGAAGUCUGCAACCCGACUUCGUGAAGCUGGAUUCGCUAGUAAUCGCGCAUCAGCCAUGGCGCGGUGAAUACGUUCCCGGGCCUUGCACUCACCGCCCGUCA
RNAcentral lists this ribosomal RNA (1397 nucleotides) under uncultured bacterium. Its description in RNAcentral is "16S ribosomal RNA". It matches the Rfam family "Bacterial small subunit ribosomal RNA". The record is from RNAcentral.